RNAcentral lists this ribosomal RNA (608 nucleotides) under uncultured bacterium. RNAcentral's name for it is "bacterial SSU rRNA". It matches the Rfam family "Bacterial small subunit ribosomal RNA", at positions 331 to 929 of the family's 1533-position model. The record is from RNAcentral.
CCAGACUCCUACGGGAGGCAGCAGUAGGGAAUCUUCGGCAAUGGACGAAAGUCUGACCGAGCAACGCCGCGUGAGUGAAGAAGGUUUUCGGAUCGUAAAGCUCUGUUGUAAGAGAAGAACGGGUGUGAGAGUGGAAAGUUCACACUGUGACGGUAUCUUACCAGAAAGGGACGGCUAACUACGUGCCAGCAGCCGCGGUAAUACGUAGGUCCCGAGCGUUGUCCGGAUUUAUUGGGCGUAAAGCGAGCGCAGGCGGUUAGAUAAGUCUGAAGUUAAAGGCUGUGGCUUAACCAUAGUACGCUUUGGAAACUGUUUAACUUGAGUGCAGAAGGGGAGAGUGGAAUUCCAUGUGUAGCGGUGAAAUGCGUAGAUAUAUGGAGGAACACCGGUGGCGAAAGCGGCUCUCUGGUCUGUAACUGACGCUGAGGCUCGAAAGCGUGGGGAGCGAACAGGAUUAGAUACCCUGGUAGUCCACGCCGUAAACGAUGAGUGCUAGGUGUUAGGCCCUUUCCGGGGCUUAGUGCCGCAGCUAACGCAUUAAGCACUCCGCCUGGGGAGUACGACCGCAAGGUUGAAACUCAAAGGAAUUGACGGGGGCCCCGCACAAG